RNAcentral lists this unclassified non-coding RNA (219 nucleotides) under uncultured Tomentella. RNAcentral describes it as "sequence contains ITS2". Lineage: Eukaryota; Fungi; Basidiomycota; Agaricomycetes; Thelephorales; Thelephoraceae. The record is from RNAcentral.
ACACCUCAACUCUCAUGGUUCGCCAUGAUGAGCUUGGACUCUGGGGGUUUUGCUGGCCCGCGGUCGGCUCCCCUCAAAUGAAUCAGCCUCCCAGUGUUUGGUGGCAUCACGGGUGUGAUAAAUAUCUACGCUCGCGGUUGUCUGCCAGGUAACCUUUGGUUACAAAGGUUUGCUGGAGCUCACAGAUGUCUCUCCUCGGUGAGGACAGCUUUUUUGAAC